AGGACGAACGCUGGCGGCGUGCUUAACACAUGCAAGUCGAGCGGUAAGGCCCUUUCGGGGGUACACGAGCGGCGAACGGGUGAGUAACACGUGAGCAAUCUGCCCUUCACUUCGGGAUAAGCCUCGGAAACGGGGUCUAAUACCGGAUAUGACUGCGCCAUGCAUGUGGUGUGGUGGAAAGUUCUGGCGGUGAGGGAUGAGCUCGCGGCCUAUCAGCUUGUUGGUGGGGUAAUGGCCUACCAAGGCUUCGACGGGUA
RNAcentral lists this ribosomal RNA (257 nucleotides) under uncultured soil bacterium. Its description in RNAcentral is "partial 16S ribosomal RNA". It matches the Rfam family "Bacterial small subunit ribosomal RNA", at positions 26 to 285 of the family's 1533-position model. The record is from RNAcentral.